GACAGAGGGUGCAAACGUUGUUCGGAAUUACUGGGCGUAAAGCGUGUGUAGGCGGCCAUGUAAGUCGGAUGUGAAAGCCCCGGGCUCAACCCGGGAAGUGCAUUCGAUACUGCGUGGCUUGAGUAUCGGAGAGGUUGGUGGAAUUCUCGGUGUAGAGGUGAAAUUCGUAGAUAUCGAGAGGAACACCGGUGGCGAAGGCGGCCAACUGGACGAAUACUGACGCUGAGACACGAAAGCGUGGGGAGCAAACAGG
This 253-nucleotide ribosomal RNA is filed under the name uncultured bacterium. RNAcentral describes it as "partial 16S ribosomal RNA". It matches the Rfam family "Bacterial small subunit ribosomal RNA", at positions 524 to 776 of the family's 1533-position model. The record is from RNAcentral.